AAUGAAUUGCCUGAUAAAAGGGUUACCUUGAUAGGGUAAAUUAUGUAGAUAAAUUUACAUUCAUUA
Molecule: transfer RNA, 66 nt
Filed under: Dicranosepsis unipilosa
Lineage: Eukaryota; Metazoa; Arthropoda; Insecta; Diptera; Sepsidae
Also listed under: 1 other name
Description: tRNA-Ile
Source: RNAcentral